This 465-nucleotide ribosomal RNA is filed under the name uncultured Klebsiella sp. Its description in RNAcentral is "bacterial SSU rRNA". It matches the Rfam family "Bacterial small subunit ribosomal RNA", at positions 338 to 795 of the family's 1533-position model. Lineage: Bacteria; Pseudomonadati; Pseudomonadota; Gammaproteobacteria; Enterobacterales; Enterobacteriaceae. The record is from RNAcentral.
CCUACGGGGGGCUGCAAUGGGGAAUAUUGCACUAUGGGCGCAAGCCUGAUGCAGCCAUGCCGCGUGUGUGAAGAAGGCCUUCGGGUUGUAAAGCACUUUCAGCGGGGAGGAAGGCGUUAAGGUUAAUAACCUUGGCGAUUGACGUUACCCGCAGAAGAAGCACCGGCUAACUCCGUGCCAGCAGCCGCGGUAAUACGGAGGGUGCAAGCGUUAAUCGGAAUUACUGGGCGUAAAGCGCACGCAGGCGGUCUGUCAAGUCGGAUGUGAAAUCCCCGGGCUCAACCUGGGAACUGCAUUCGAAGCUGGCAGGCUAGAGUCUUGUAGAGGGGGGUAGAAUUCCAGGUGUAGCGGUGAAAUGCGUAGAGAUCUGGAGGAAUACCGGUGGCGAAGGCGGCCCCCUGGACAAAGACUGACGCUCAGGUGCGAAAGCGUGGGGAGCAAACAGGAUUAGAUACCCUUGUAGUC